This 350-nucleotide unclassified non-coding RNA is filed under the name soil metagenome. Its description in RNAcentral is "partial contains 5.8S ribosomal RNA, internal transcribed spacer 2, and large subunit ribosomal RNA". The stretch from base 1 to 120 matches the Rfam family "5.8S ribosomal RNA", at positions 35 to 154 of the family's 154-position model. The record is from RNAcentral.
GAUGAAGAACGUAGCGAAAUGCGAUAAGUAAUGUGAAUUGCAGAAUUCAGUGAAUCAUCGAAUCUUUGAACGCACAUUGCGCCCGCCAGUAUUCUGGCGGGCAUGCCUGUUCGAGCGUCAUUUCAACCCUCAAGCCCAGCUUGGUGUUGGGGAUCGGCACAGGCGCCCUCGGGCGCCCGCCGUCCCCUAAAUCUAGUGGCGGUCCCGCUGCAGCCUCCUCUGCGUAGUAGUUUUCUCCUCGCAAGGGCAGCUCGGUGGCGACCUCGCCGUAAAACCCCCAACUUCUGAAAGGUUGACCUCGAAUCAGGUAGGAAUACCCGCUGAACUUAAGCAUAUCAUUAAGCGGAGGA